UAGAGGGCGAUCCUGGCUCAGAUUGAACGCUGCCGGCAGGUAUAACACAUGCAAGUCGAGCGGAUGAAGGGAGCUUGCUCCCUGAUUUAGCGGCGGACGGGUGAGUCAUGCCUAGGAAUCUGCCUGGUAGUGGGGGAUAACGUUCCGAAAGGAACGCUAAUAUGGCAUACGUCCUACGGGAGAAAGCAGGGGACCUUCGGGCCUUGCGCUAUCAGAUGAGCCUAGGUCGGAGGAGCUAGUUGGUGAGGUAAUGGCUCACCAAGGCGACGAUCCGUAACUGGUCUGAGAGGAUGAUCAGUCACACUGGAACUGAGACACGGUCCACACUCCUACGGGAGGCAGCAGUGGGGUGAAUUGGACAAUGGGCGAAAGCCUGAUCCAGCCAUGCCGCGUGUGUGAAGAAGGUCUUCGGAUUGUAAAGCACUUUAAGUUGGGAGGAAGCGCGGUGAGCUAAUACCUUGCUGUUUUGACGUUA
RNAcentral lists this ribosomal RNA (475 nucleotides) under Ectopseudomonas oleovorans. Its description in RNAcentral is "bacterial SSU rRNA". It matches the Rfam family "Bacterial small subunit ribosomal RNA", at positions 1 to 477 of the family's 1533-position model. Lineage: Bacteria; Pseudomonadati; Pseudomonadota; Gammaproteobacteria; Pseudomonadales; Pseudomonadaceae. The record is from RNAcentral.